UGGGGAAUAUUGCACAAUGGGGGAAACCCUGAUGCAGCAACGCCGCGUGAGUGAUGAAGGUUUUCGGAUCGUAAAGCUCUGUCUUUGGGGAAGAUAAUGACGGUACCCAAGGAGGAAGCCACGGCUAACUACGUGCCAGCAGCCGCGGUAAUACGUAGGUGGCGAGCGUUAUCCGGAUUUACUGGGCGUAAAGGGAGCGUAGGCGGAUGAUUAAGUGGGAUGUGAAAUACCCGGGCUCAACUUGGGUACUGCAUUCCAAACUGGUUAUCUAGAGUGCAGGAGAGGAGAGUGGAAUUCCUAGUGUAGCGGUGAAAUGCGUAGAGAUUAGGAAGAACACCAGUGGCGAAGGCGACUCUCUGGACUGUAACUGACGCUGAGGCUCGAAAGCGUGGGGAGCAAACA
RNAcentral lists this ribosomal RNA (402 nucleotides) under uncultured bacterium. RNAcentral's name for it is "bacterial SSU rRNA". It matches the Rfam family "Bacterial small subunit ribosomal RNA", at positions 355 to 774 of the family's 1533-position model. The record is from RNAcentral.